RNAcentral lists this ribosomal RNA (508 nucleotides) under uncultured bacterium. RNAcentral's name for it is "bacterial SSU rRNA". It matches the Rfam family "Bacterial small subunit ribosomal RNA", at positions 28 to 526 of the family's 1533-position model. The record is from RNAcentral.
GACGAACGCUGGCGGCGUGGAUUAGGCAUGCAAGUCGAACGGUAUCAUCCUUUCGGGGGUGAGAGAGUGGCGAACUGGUGAGUAACACGUAGGUUAUCUACCCUCAAGACGGGGACAACCCAGGGAAACUUGGGCUAAUACCGGAUGUGAGCAACUUUUAGUUGUUUGAAAGGUGGCGUAAGCUGUCGCUUGGGGAUGAGCCUGCGUCCUAUUAGUUAGUUGGUGAGGUAACGGCUCACCUAGGCAAUGAUAGGUAGGCGGCCUUAACGGGUGGUCGCCCACACUGGGAUUGAGAUACGGCCCAGACUCCUACGGGAGGCAGCAGUCGAGAAUAGUCUACAAUGGUCGGAAGACUGAUAGUGCGACGCCGCGUGAACGAUGAAUCCCUUCGGGGUGUAAAGUUCUUUUAUAUGUGAGCAGUGCUUCUUAUAUUAACAGUAUGGGGAGAGAGAUAUUAGCAUAUGAAUAAGCAACGGCUAACUCCGUGCCAGCAGCCGCGGUAAUCGUC